AGGACGAACGCUGGCGGCGUGCCUAACACAUGCAAGUCGAGCGAGGAGAUCCUUCGGGAUGAUCCUAGCGGCGGACGGGUGAGUAACACGUGGGCAACCUGCCUCAUAGAGAGGAAUAGCCUUCCGAAAGGGAGAUUAAUACCUCAUAACAUUGCAGUUUCGCAUGAAACAGCAAUUAAAGGAGCAAUCCGCUAUGAGAUGGGCCCGCGGCGCAUUAGCUAGUUGGUGAGGUAACGGCUCACCAAGGCGACGAUGCGUAGCCGACCUGAGAGGGUGAUCGGCCACAUUGGGACUGAGACACGGCCCAGACUCCUACGGGAGGCAGCAGUGGGGAAUAUUGCACAAUGGGGGAAACCCUGAUGCAGCAACGCCGCGUGAGUGAUGACGGCCUUCGGGUUGUAAAGCUCUGUCUUCAGGGACGAUAAUGACGGUACCUGGGGAGGAAGCCACGGCUAACUACGUGCCAGCCGCCGC
RNAcentral lists this ribosomal RNA (474 nucleotides) under uncultured bacterium. RNAcentral's name for it is "bacterial SSU rRNA". It matches the Rfam family "Bacterial small subunit ribosomal RNA", at positions 26 to 518 of the family's 1533-position model. The record is from RNAcentral.